GUGAAAUCUUUGGAACUCUAUCAUGCAAAAACAUGUUCUUUUUACUGCUUCCAAGGCAAUUUAGCUGUACAUUUUUUCCUUGGAGCAUAUGUUAUUCUUGAUUUGGAUUAUUCUAAUCGAAUGGCCAGGACAUCAUGAAAUUUAUUGCACAUUACUGUGUCAUCCAUCUCUCACAUUAUUUAAUUUUUCUAUUAUCUAGUCUUGGUUUUUUUAGUUUUAGUUGUUGGUUGAUAUUUGAGUUUAGCUUUUCCUGCCCAAUUAGUGGCACGUCAUUUUUCAGUGCUGUUCAGGUAGUUGUGAUAACUGGAAGCUGCUGAUGGUAUAGAGUUAUGAACUUAAAAAGAAUGCAUUCUGUGUGUGCGCCUUUGGGUUGCAUAUUAACCAUGGUUCAUUUCCUUGUAUGACCAUACAAUUAAUCUGCCUAAUCUUCUUUGCUGAAGGCUCAUGAUCUCUUCUCCUAUUGGAGCAUAAAG
RNAcentral lists this unclassified non-coding RNA (473 nucleotides) under Hevea brasiliensis (rubber tree). Lineage: Eukaryota; Viridiplantae; Streptophyta; Magnoliopsida; Malpighiales; Euphorbiaceae. The record is from RNAcentral.